CAUUUUUAAACCCACCCUCCAGUUUCCUACCUUUUGCUGGAGGGUGGCUUCCCUGGAGUCCAGUGUGGUGCCUGAGCAUGAUGGGAGUGAGGAUCCUCCAUCCUCACUGCAGCCGCGUCCUCUCUCCCUCAUGACUCCUCCUGCCAGAUUCCGUGCAGCUCCUCUGUUUAUGGGAGGAAGUGACUUGCGGCAGUCACUUCCUCUUAGCCGGCUGCCGGAAAGCAAGGGCCCGGUCGCAGUGUUAAAGGGCAACAGCGCCCAACUGGGCCCCUGCUGAUACAAGCCCACUGGGUGGCCCUAAGUGCAUGGGCCACCCGGUGGGACUCAGAGGAUGGGGAAAAAAAUAAAUUGAUGAGGGCAGCGGGGCCCACGGGGCAGGUGCCUCGGGCCCCCCAAGAGAAAUUGGGCCCGGGGCAGCUGCCCCGUUUGUCCCGCGUUAAAGACGGCCCUGACUUUAGGUGCAGUUAUUCAACUAGC
Molecule: non-coding RNA, 477 nt
Organism: Pelobates cultripes (western spadefoot toad)
Lineage: Eukaryota; Metazoa; Chordata; Amphibia; Anura; Pelobatidae
Source: the annotation of a GenBank genome assembly